RNAcentral lists this unclassified non-coding RNA (442 nucleotides) under Hevea brasiliensis (rubber tree). The record is from RNAcentral. Lineage: Eukaryota; Viridiplantae; Streptophyta; Magnoliopsida; Malpighiales; Euphorbiaceae.
AAAUUAUUCAAUCUGUGAUAGCUAAAAAGAUGACGAAAUUGAUUGUUAAACUGUUUAAUGCAAUUUUAGCCACUUACCAUUGAGUUUAGAAUUAAGGCUAGUGUGAUUGUUAUCUUUGAAGGUGGAUUCCAAGCCAACAUAAUUGUGAAAAGGUAUAGAUUUUGAGCAUUCAAAUGGUCAAUGAGCUAAACAUAGUCUGGAAGGCGUUGUAGCUUUAGCUACCAGGCUUUGAAUUACUAUGACUACUCACUUGGAAACACAGUAACUUUUCAGUUUUCUGCUUGUAUGCUUCCUCAGUGCUCCGUUCUUCAGGUGGCACUCAUGUUCUGCUAUCAAAGAUGAAAUGGAAAACUAUGGAUACAUGGAAAUGUAGAGAUUUGAGAGGAGAUGGAGACGCCUUUCACUCAACAAUUUUGCAUUGAAAAGAAAAUCCCGACUUUAC